Small nuclear RNA from Monodelphis domestica (gray short-tailed opossum), 105 nucleotides. The record is from Ensembl. Lineage: Eukaryota; Metazoa; Chordata; Mammalia; Didelphimorphia; Didelphidae.
GUGCUUGCUUCAGUAGCACAUAUACUAAAAUUGGAAUGAUACAGAGAAGAUUAGCAUGGCCCCUGUGUAAGGAUGACACGCAAAUGUGUGGUGUUCCAUAUUAAA